GAUGAACGCUGGCUGCGUGCCUAAUACAUGCAAGUCGAGCGAACGGACGAGAAGCUUGCUUCUCUGAUGUUAGCGGCGGACGGGUGAGUAACACGUGGAUAACCUACCUAUAAGACUGGGAUAACUUCGGGAAACCGGAGCUAAUACCGGAUAAUAUUUUGAACCGCAUGGUUCAAAAGUGAAAGACGGUCUUGCUGUCACUUAUAGAUGGAUCCGCGCUGCAUUAGCUAGUUGGUAAGGUAACGGCUUACCAAGGCAACGAUGCAUAGCCGACCUGAGAGGGUGAUCGGCCACACUGGAACUGAGACACGGUCCAGACUCCUACGGGAGGCAGCAGUAGGGAAUCUUCCGCAAUGGGCGAAAGCCUGACGGAGCAACGCCGCGUGAGUGAUGAAGGUCUUCGGAUCGUAAAACUCUGUUAUUAGGGAAGAACAUAUGUGUAAGUAACUGUGCACAUCUUGACGGUACCUAAUCAGAAAGCCACGGCUAACUACGUGCCAGCAGCCGCGGUAAUACGUAGGUGGCAAGCGUUAUCCGGAAUUAUUGGGCGUAAAGCGCGCGUAGGCGGUUUUUUAAGUCUGAUGUGAAAGCCCACGGCUCAACCGUGGAGGGUCAUUGGAAACUGGAAAACUUGAGUGCAGAAGAGGAAAGUGGAAUUCCAUGUGUAGCGGUGAAAUGCGCAGAGAUAUGGAGGAACACCAGUGGCGAAGGCGACUUUCUGGUCUGUAACUGACGCUGAUGUGCGAAAGCGUGGGGAUCAAACAGGAUUAGAUACCCUGGUAGUCCACGCCGUAAACGAUGAGUGCUAAGUGUUAGGGGGUUUCCGCCCCUUAGUGCUGCAGCUAACGCAUUAAGCACUCCGCCUGGGGAGUACGACCGCAAGGUUGAAACUCAAAGGAAUUGACGGGGACCCGCACAAGCGGUGGAGCAUGUGGUUUAAUUCGAAGCAACGCGAAGAACCUUACCAAAUCUUGACAUCCUUUGACAACUCUAGAGAUAGAGCCUUCCCCUUCGGGGGACAAAGUGACAGGUGGUGCAUGGUUGUCGUCAGCUCGUGUCGUGAGAUGUUGGGUUAAGUCCCGCAACGAGCGCAACCCUUAAGCUUAGUUGCCAUCAUUAAGUUGGGCACUCUAAGUUGACUGCCGGUGACAAACCGGAGGAAGGUGGGGAUGACGUCAAAUCAUCAUGCCCCUUAUGAUUUGGGCUACACACAUGCUACAAUGGACAAUACAAAGGGCAGCGAAACCGCAAGGUCAAGCAAAUCCCAUAAAGUUGUUCUCAGUUCGGAUUGUAGUCUGCAACUCGACUACAUGAAGCUGGAAUCGCUAGUAAUCGUAGAUCAGCAUGCUACGGUGAAUACGUUCCCGGGUCU
RNAcentral lists this ribosomal RNA (1372 nucleotides) under uncultured bacterium. RNAcentral's name for it is "bacterial SSU rRNA". It matches the Rfam family "Bacterial small subunit ribosomal RNA", at positions 28 to 1381 of the family's 1533-position model. The record is from RNAcentral.